UGCAUCGGCCGGGAAUCGAAUCCGGGGCGCCCGCGUGGCAGGCGAGCAACUACCACUGAACCAAAAGC
Non-coding RNA from Cordylochernes scorpioides, 68 nucleotides. The record is from the annotation of a GenBank genome assembly. NCBI's taxonomy places the organism in Eukaryota, Metazoa, Arthropoda, Arachnida, Pseudoscorpiones, Chernetidae.